This 399-nucleotide ribosomal RNA is filed under the name Acanthoscelides palmasola. RNAcentral's name for it is "partial 12S small subunit ribosomal RNA". The record is from RNAcentral. Lineage: Eukaryota; Metazoa; Arthropoda; Insecta; Coleoptera; Chrysomelidae.
UAAACUAGGAUUAGAUACCCUAUUAUAUAAAAUAUAAAUUUAAAAUACUAAAUUAGUAUUAGUUAUGUUCUUGAAAAUUUAAAAAUUUGGCGGUAUUUUAGUCUUUUCAGAGGAAUCUGUUCUAUAAUCGAUAGUCCACGAUUAGAUGAACUUUACUUAUUAGUUUACAUAUCGUCGUAGUUUGAAUAUUUUAGUAGAAUUAUUAAUAUUCAAUAUUUUUUAUUAAAAAGUAAAUCAGAUCAAGGUGUAGCUUAUAGUAAAGAAGUAAUGGAUUACAAUAAAUUUAUUUAAGGAUAAUUUUUAUUAUAGAAAUUUGAAAAUGGAUUUGAUAGUAAUUUUAUAAUUUUUUUUAAAAUGAUUAUAGCUCUAAAAUAUGUACACAUCGCCCGUCGCUCUUAA